AGCAGUGUGGCUCAGUGGAAAGAGCACGGGCUUGGGAGUCAGAGGUCAUGAGUUCAAAUCCCGUAGCUGCCA
This 72-nucleotide transfer RNA is filed under the name Ornithorhynchus anatinus (platypus). It matches the Rfam family "tRNA". Rfam says of the family: Transfer RNA (tRNA) molecules are approximately 80 nucleotides in length. Their secondary structure includes four short double-helical elements and three loops (D, anti-codon, and T loops). Lineage: Eukaryota; Metazoa; Chordata; Mammalia; Monotremata; Ornithorhynchidae. The record is from Rfam by way of RNAcentral.